RNAcentral lists this long non-coding RNA (486 nucleotides) under Zonotrichia albicollis (white-throated sparrow). Its description in RNAcentral is "lncRNA (ENSZALG00000002785.1)". Lineage: Eukaryota; Metazoa; Chordata; Aves; Passeriformes; Passerellidae. The record is from RNAcentral.
AGCUUCCAUGGAGCCCUUGGGUGGAUGCUCGGGAGAACUCCAGGAAUUCCACAAAGUGGGAAAAGGACAAAUCCCAGGAUUUGGGUGCAGUGUCCAAUCCCAAUCCCUGUCCCAGGGCCCAUCCUGGUGCUCAGCAGCUCCUGGGAGACAUUCCCAGAAUCCCAGAAUCCCAGAAUCCAGAAAAGAUUUCCCAAAACAACCAUAGGCAGAGCCAGGAUUCCCAGGUUUUUGGGAAGAGGAGGGAUAAAAACAACCCAGGCAGAGCUGGUGGGAUAUCCUGGGAGUUUCCCCAUUCCCCACAAAGCUUUGGAUCGAGUCGGGAAUGCCAAGGAUGGGGUUGGGAAUGCCAGGGAUGGGGUUGGGGUUAGGAAUGCCAGGAUUGGGAAUGCCAGGGAUGGGAUUAGGAAUGCCAGGAUGGGAUUGGGAAUGCCAGGGAUGGGAAUGCCAGGGAUGGGGUUAGGAAUGCCAGAGAUGCAUUUGGGAAUG